Molecule: ribosomal RNA, 425 nt
Filed under: Conus pennaceus
Lineage: Eukaryota; Metazoa; Mollusca; Gastropoda; Neogastropoda; Conidae
Description: partial 12S ribosomal RNA
Rfam family: Microsporidia small subunit ribosomal RNA
Source: RNAcentral
AAACUGGGAUUAGAUACCCCACUAUUUUUAGUUGUAAAUUUAGUUUAAGCUUACCAGAGUACUACGAAUAAAAAAGUUUAAAACUCAAAGGGCUUGGCGGUGUUUUAGACCUCUCAGGGGAACCUGUCUCGUAAUCGACAGUCCGCGUUAAACCUAACCUUUUAUAGCAAUACAGCUUGUAUACCGUCGUCGUCAGGUAACUUCUUAAAAUAUAGUAGUUAGCCCGAGAAUCAAGUUAAUUAGGACGUCAGAUCAAGGUGCAGCCAAUAAAAAGGUGAGGAUGGGUUACAAUUACAUAUUUGUAAAUACGGAAAAUAUUUGAAAUAUAGUAUCAUAAAGGAGGACUUGAAAGUAAUUUUAGUUAUAUAGAUAGAAUGAAUAUGGCUCUGAAACGUGCACACACCGCCCGUCACCCUCUGCAGUCA